RNAcentral lists this ribosomal RNA (468 nucleotides) under uncultured bacterium. RNAcentral describes it as "partial 16S ribosomal RNA". It matches the Rfam family "Bacterial small subunit ribosomal RNA", at positions 28 to 507 of the family's 1533-position model. The record is from RNAcentral.
GACGAACGCUGGCGGCGUGCUUAACACAUGCCAGUCGAACGGCAAGGCCCUGCUUUUGUGGGGUGCUCGAGUGGCGAACGGGUGAGUAACACGUGAGUAACCUGCCCUUGACUUUGGGAUAACUUCAGGAAACUGGGGCUAAUACCGGAUAGGAGCUCCUGCUGCAUGGUGGGGGUUGGAAAGUUUCGGCGGUUGGGGAUGGACUCGCGGCUUAUCAGCUGGUUGGUGGGGUAGUGGCUUACCAAGGCUUUGACGGGUAGCCGGCCUGAGAGGUUCACCGGCGACAUGAGGACUGAGAGAGGGCCCAGAAGCCAACGGGAGGCAGCAGUGGAGAGUAUGGCGCAGUGGGCGGAAGCGUGAGGCAGCAACGCCGGGUGCGUAAUGACGGCCUACGGGGUGUAAACCGCUGUCGCCUGUGACGAAGCGUGAGUGACGGUAAUGGGUAAAGAAGCACCGGCUAACUACGUG